RNAcentral lists this ribosomal RNA (370 nucleotides) under uncultured eukaryote. RNAcentral describes it as "partial 18S ribosomal RNA". It matches the Rfam family "Eukaryotic small subunit ribosomal RNA", at positions 592 to 976 of the family's 1831-position model. The record is from RNAcentral.
CAAUAGCGUAUAUUAAAGUUGUUGCAGUUAAAAAGCUCGUAGUUGGAUUUCUGGUCGGAAGCUCCUGUCCUCUGAUGAGCGUACAAGUGCGUCCUACCAUCCUUCUGUUAACCUUUAAGGCUUUCGCGGCUUUCUAGGGGCUCAGAUAUUUUACCUUGAGAAAAUUAGAGUGUUUCAGGCAGGCUAGCGCCGGAAUACAUUAGCAUGGAAUAAUGGAAUAGGACUUUUGCCUCUUCUGUUGGUCAUGAGUCUCGAGUAAUGAUUAAUAGGGAUAGUUGGGGGCAUUAGUACUUAACUGUCAGAGGUGAAAUUCUCGGAUUUGUUAAAGACUAACUUAUGCGAAAGCAUUUGCCAAGGAUGUUUUCAUUAA